Long non-coding RNA from Alnus glutinosa, 4715 nucleotides. RefSeq lists it as uncharacterized. NCBI's taxonomy places the organism in Eukaryota, Viridiplantae, Streptophyta, Magnoliopsida, Fagales, Betulaceae. The transcript has 2 exons. The record is from RefSeq and is a predicted model, not a curated record.
UGAACAUCUCCUUGGUUAUUCAUCUUCAGUUAUUUGAUUGAUCUUGUUACUGUUAAGUGUCUUGUCAUUUUUAUGAUCGGCAUGGAAUAAUAGUGUUAUCAUUAAAUGUAUAUCAAUAAGGAAGAUAAAUGCUAAUCUUUCUUGGCUGUGCUAUGAUAGACGUGGGAACUUUUCAGGAUUUUGCUUAUCUUACAAGUAUAUCUCAUCCUGAAAUUUCUAUGAUUUUUUUUUUCCCUUUUUAACAAGGAAAAAUUGGUUGGAUUCAAAGUGGCUAAUGCUGAUAGGGCAUCUCAAGAUAUACUAUCUAAAUUUUUUUUGGGCAUGUAGCACAAUUUGUGUUAAGUAAUUAGGAGCAAGUAGGUUUUGAUCCAUCUGGGGAGGUGGUUGUGUGGGAGCAAAGUAAUGAGAAUUGGGAUGGGAAGGUUGACUUUGGUAAGCUCCAUCAACUACGGUGAUGCAAGUGUCCACUUGGUAUAGGAAAGGCAAGGCUCACGUGUGGUAGCGGGGAAUGCUUCUCGAGGGUUCGGGUUUGAGGGUUUUUGGUUUUUGAGGGUUGUGUUUUUUUUUCUUUUUGGUGGGCUGCUUUGACUAUUCUUGUGUACUUAGGGGCACCUUACAAUUUUUUAAUAAAACUUUCUUACUUAUAAAAAAAGAACAUGUAAAAGCUCUAAUAGCAAGCUUAUAAAAAAUAAAAAAAAAAGAUUAAAUAUUCCGUGAUAAUCUAUGCUCAAUGAAAACAUUGCAUUCAUCACCAAUUCAUACCAAUUCACAGAAUUAUUUAAAUUUUAAGGUAUUAUAUCUUGAGAUAUUAAUUUAGAUAAUAUAUCCAAAUAUAUUUGGUUAAUAAGAUCCAAAACGUUUAUUGAUCUGGUGCAUAUUCAUAAUCAAUAUAUAGAGAUUAUUGUGUGUCAAAUAACAUCAAAAGUAUCGGGUUUAGAAGAUAGAAUGUGUAAUAGUUUUUUGCUUGGAGAACUAAUUGAAUUGUUGCGGGUGGAAGUAGCAUGGCAUGUUUUGGAAGAAGUGAUAUGUUACCAAGCCAUCUUAGUUGGGAAUAAUAUGACUGAUUGCCUCUACAUCUACUUACAUUGGUUAGUAUUGUGUGGAAUAAAGAUGCGAGGGUGGCAGAUAAUUUGGUUGUUCAAAAUGGAGUUAUUUAGUAGAAUGUUAUUUUUACGCAUCCAGUCAAGGUUUGGGAGAUGGAGAUGGUACUUUCUUUCUUCGCUCGGCUUUAUUCUAUUUCGAUUUGACAUGGAGAGGAUGAUAGGUUAGUUUGCAGCCUCUCCAAAAGGGGUCUAUUUGAAGUGAAGUCUUAUUAUGAAGUGUUAAAUAGGAAAGAUGACCCUUCAUUUCCUUGGAAGAGUAUCUGGCGAGUUAAGGCUCUGGCAUGGGUGGCUUUCUUUGUAUGGACAACAGCUUUAGGUAAAAUUUUGACACAUGACAAUCUGCGAAAGAUGAACGUCGUGGUGAUUGAGUGGUGUUGUAUGUGUAAAAAGAGCGGGGAGCCCAUUGAACAUAUGCUACUUCAUUGCGAAGUUGCUCGCGAUCUAUGGAGUUACAUUCUUACUUUAUUUGGGGUUGAGUGGGUUAUGCCACGAAGGGUGCUGGAAUUGUUGACUAGAUGGGGCGCGUCAUUUGGGUAUGGUCCAGCUAAGGAUGUUUGGUGGUUAGUUCCGUUGUGUUUAAUGUGGUGUCUUUGGCAAUAGCGGAAUGCGUGGCAUUUUGAAGAUGUAGAGACAUUGAUGUUGGAGCUACGGAAACGUUUGCUUAACAUGUUAUAUAUUUGGAUAGCGGCUCAACAUAGCUUGAGUAUUUUUACUUAUGCAGAUUUUUUAAAUUUAUUUUCUGUUUGUUCCUAUUAGGGGGUACUCUUGUAUACUUCCUGUGUAUUGGGGUUGCGCUCAUCUGCGCUUUAUUAUUGAAUUGACAUUACUUAUUAAAAAAAAAAAAAAACAUUGGUUAGUAAAAAGCCCCAAUAAAAUAACCACUAAAAGCGAAAUGUAAAAAAGGAAAACGUUUAGUUCUAACCCCCCUUUUUAAUGAUCUAUCUUCUUGGAAAAAAAAAGUAGUAGCAAGGAGAGUCCUGGUAUUACAAAUUGAAUAUUCUGUGAAAUUCAUUGUUUUGGCAUGCUAAAAAGGUUUCAUGGCAUACUAUUUUUAAUAUAAAUAUUGGCAACUUCCAGGGAAAUUUGAUCUUGUUAAUAAUUACUCAUAAAAAAAAAAGGGGAAAUUUGAUCAUGUUAAUAGAGAUGUUGAAGUGAAAGAUUUGCCUAUAGCCACAUCAAAGUUAUAGGGUAGUGAUGAACCAUGAAGAAAUGAGCAUGGGUGUAUUGCAAUAAGAACCAAAAUUCUUUUUUAAUUGACGGUUGAAGGGACCGGAAUCUAACCCCACAACACACAAGCACAAUAAAACAAUAAUAUAUAUAAAUAAAUUGCCGCAAUAAACAGAAUAUAAGCAAACCACAAAGUAUAAGCACCUAACAAUCAACACAAUGAUUUUGUUUACGAUGUGAAAACCCUUUGAGCACCUCAAAUGUAAAACUACUCCAGAGCAGCCAAAUCUAUGAAGUCAAUCACUAUAAAAGAUUCAAGUAUAGACAAAGUAAACUUACCACCCCUUUGUAAAAUACUCAUACUCUGUAGCAAACAAACUAUUCACUUGCUUUCUUGCCUCCUCGACAGGCUCCAGCUCCUUACCGGACAAUCUUAUAUAUAUGAUUUCCUUACUGACCCUCCGGUAGACUUCAAGCGGUUGAAGGUUUAAUGAAGGUGGUGGUUUAAACAACAAAACUACGAGAGAGGGGAAGCAUUAAAGGCUCUCAACAAUGGCUCUCUUGGCUCACAAAGGAUUUCUUGCGGUGCAGGGCGAAUUCAAAAGCGUCAGGACCUUCACUAAGGUUUCAUUGCUAAUUUCAGUGACAACUCAGCAAUGUCUAGACGGUCUUGCUGAUGGAGAUCUUUGGAAGUCAUCUUCCAUUGGCAACAUCAAGAAGGUCUUGGUGACGGAGUUCUCUGGAGUCUCCUAUUUCAUCUAGCAUCAAGGCGUGCUACUGAUGGAGCUCUUGAGUAGGCUAUGGAAGUCAUCUUCCAUGAGUGACGUCAGGACAUCUUGCUAACGGUCCUGGUGACGGAGCUCUCGGGUAGGCUUUGGAGGUUUGGAAUCACGAAACACUCUCUCAAGUAGGCUCUGGAAGUCAUCUUCCAUGAGUGACGUCAGGACAUCUUGCUAACGGUCCUGGUGACGGAGCUCUCGGGUAGGCUUUGGAGGUUUGGAAUCACGAAACACUCUCUCAAGUAGGCUCUGGAAGUCAUCUUCCAUGAGUGACGGAAGGACAUCUUGCUUACUGUCCUGGUGACGGAGCUCUCGGGUAGGCUUUGGAGGUUUGGAAUCACGAAACAAGUCAGGACGGUUGGUGACGGUCAUGCUAACGGUUUACAAUAACUUCAAAUUUAAAGCCUAACUUUUUACACCAAAAUACUUGGGUGUUAAAAAGUUUACAACCCUAGUUUUAAUCACCGAAUUGAGCCAAUUUCUAAGACCUAACAAUGGCCAUCCUAGUUGUAUUAUAUCAUCUGCAUUUUAAUUCCUAGUUCAACUUUUCCUCUUUUCAGUGCCACUGUUAACUAGAUUUUUAAUUUGGCCAAAACCUACAAAAAGAAAAUCUAGAUAUUUUUACAUAGUAAAUCAAUCAAAGAUGUAACUAACAAAGGAUCAGUAUAAUCCAUUCUAAUAUGCAUGGUUUUUCCAUUGGAGGGUUCCAACUUGAGUAAAAAGUAUAAAUUAUUUUUUUAUCAUCUCAUCCAAGUAACCAAUUCUUUUAUAUUAAAUGAAACUUCUAGAAUAAUAUAAAAGAUAAACUACGUUGGAUUCCCAUAAUUUAUUUUUAAUUCUGCCACUAGGAAUGAAUAGGGUUAUCAUAAAUUGGUUUCUUGUCAUGCUUGCUUUUGAAACCUGACUAGUAUUUUAGCAUUUAAUUGAAGAUUUCAUGGGGAAAAUAGAGAAUUUUGUAAGGUUUCGUUGUACUUGGAAAAAACCCAUACUGCUGAUCAUUCAGUUGUAAUUUAGAGAGUUGUAGUAUAUUUUGGCUGAAGAAGAGAUUUAUGAUGGAGUUAUGGAAGCUCUGGAGAAGUUGGGGAAAGAAAUUAUUUUGUUUUUACACCACCUACUAACUGUGCUUGUAUUAGUUACCAAAAAAAGAAAUCAUACUUCUGUACUUGAGACGUGUUUUGGACCUGUUGGACUAAAUUUAGGUCAAAUGUUUAUUCAGGUCUAAAUAAUGCAUACAUUCAAAAGUUUAGUUUGAGAAGGCGACUACAUCGAUGGAAUGGAGUGUGAAUUUGUUUAAGUUGGAGGGAGUUAGUAAUUAAGAACGUUACAUCAACUGUCAAGGAAAACUGUGUCAACAAUUAUUAACAAGUGAAAUUCUUCGCUUUUCCAUUGAGUUUUAGUCUUUUUUAGACUCAAUUUUUUCCCUGCCUAGGUACAUUAUGCAAUGGAAUAGUGUGCUGAAUGAUAGGUACAUUUUAAAAUAUAAAAUCAAAAUAAAAUACGCAAAUGGAUAUUGAAGAGAAAAGAGAAAUAGAGAAGACAAAGAUUUGAGGUGGUUAAGCCUUGGAUGUUUUGAUCCACCGCCCGAUAGGGGUACAUAGUUUUUAUAUUGACUGAUAGCUGUCUAUUUUUUUUUUGGAUAAGGUAAGUAUAAUGUCCAAAGGAAAAA